RNAcentral lists this small nuclear RNA (18 nucleotides) under Arabidopsis thaliana (thale cress). Its description in RNAcentral is "snRNA_05711". The record is from RNAcentral. Lineage: Eukaryota; Viridiplantae; Streptophyta; Magnoliopsida; Brassicales; Brassicaceae.
AGAGCUUCCGCAUAAAAC